This 253-nucleotide ribosomal RNA is filed under the name uncultured bacterium. Its description in RNAcentral is "partial 16S ribosomal RNA". It matches the Rfam family "Bacterial small subunit ribosomal RNA", at positions 524 to 776 of the family's 1533-position model. The record is from RNAcentral.
GACAGAGGUGCCGAGCGUUAGGCGGAAUCACUGGGCUUAAAGCGUGUGUAGGCGGACUCGUAAGUGCUUUGUGAAAUCCCACGGCUCACCCGUGGAACUGCUUGGCAUACUGCGAGCCUUGAGCCACUUAGGGGCAACCGGAACAAACGGUGGAGCGGUGAAAUGCGUAGAUAUCAAGAGGAAUACCUGAGGUGAAGACGGGUUGCUAGGCCGACACUGACGCUGAAGCGCGAAAGCCAGGGGAGCAAACGGG